UUUAUUUUGUCAAAGUUUGAGUUUGUUCCCGUAAAGAACAAGAAGUCAUGAUCUGAAUCUUAAUGCAGCUUCUAGAAACAUUCAAAUGUCAAACUGACGAGCACGGAUGAUGAGUUCAGGUGAAAAUGAGUGCGUGUACAGGACUACCACUGUGAUGGGCCGCAGCAGUGCUGGAUGCUGAUUUGUGUCAAGGAGAGGAGACAGAAAGUUCACCAAGGAAUAAAAUACAUGUAUGUUUUACCUUAGAAGCCUUCAAAUACUGGAUUAUUUCUAUCUAUAAAAUCUAAAACUAUACUGCACAUGUGCUCUGAUACUUGUGUGUAUAUUCUCUCUGUCCUUCCAGGGUUGAGAUGUUUACACUUCACUUUACAUCGCUCCAAUAUUUGGACUUUAGACUGAACGUGAUCUUGCAGUGACUCGGUUGGAUGAGGACCAGAAGUCAUUGGUCCACUGACAGCAGUGUGAAAUUAUACUGCUCAGUCAGGGAGGCAGUUACACAAGCCCGGAAUGAAACAAGUUUUCAUUCCUCUAGUUGGCCCCUUUGCUGCUCAAUCAACUCUGCAGGUUCCAUCACCGCGUUCUCCGCCAAGUCAUUCCUGGUCCCAAAGCCUCAUACCUGCAUCUGUAAGACUGUGCUGGGAGCCAUGUUCCACAAAUACGCCGACAUUCUUCAGUCGGACUGGGCUCCUGUUCCACAUGUUUGCACCACUGGGACCAAAAAUCUGUAUUCCAAAGUGUCCUACUUUUCUGGAGACACACGCAAACAGACACACAGACCGGGGAGUGAGUUUAGGGAAUGCUCCGAGGGACAUGUUAAAUCCAUCAUUUAUGUUUUUCAAAGCCUGUUUAUGGGUCAAAAAUAUGGCUGUUUCAUCACGUGCACAAACACAGCAUGCACACAGACAUAUUUUAACCGUUCAACAGAGGUAUUUUCCACUCAAUCGUCUGACUGAAGCAGCUGUCCCCUGAAUGGACUAUUAAAAACCUCCGACUAUCCCUAUAACCGCUGACCAUGUAGCUGUGCAUUUCUCAGAUGCUCAUGAUUAUUUUGGUAAGUGUUACCACCUUGGUCAACACUUCCAGUUAGUCUGUUAAAGUGCGCCAUUCCCUAAAUUAGCAGAAUGCUCCUCACACUCACCCGUCUUUGCCCCAAAGAACAACCUCCACCUCUUCAGCUUUACCUCCAUCUGCUAUCUACUGUCACCACAGACCACAAUGUCGUCUGCAAACAUUGUGCUCCAUGGAGCUUCCUGCCGGACCACAUCUGUCAACCUGACCAUCACCAUAGCGAUCACAGAGGCAAAGAGGCAAGACAAGGCUGUUUGAACCCAUGUCACUCAGAAUGCCCACCUCACUACUGUUUUGUUGGUAGUUACAUAUUUUUCACCACCCUCACAUGCUUCUAUGCCACUCUUGGCUUCCUCAUAUAGUAACACAGUUCUUCUUUAACGCAAUCAUAUGCAUUCGCUAAUGAAUGACGUGUGACCUCAUAUUUAGCAUUGAUUAAUGACUUGACUAUAUAUAUAUAAAUAUAAAAAAAAAUUACAACUUACAAAAUUACAACAUUAAAGUAAAUAAGGGCAAUGUCAUCAUUUGGUAGAUAAUUUAAUUAUUAGUAAAGGACCAAACUGCAGCAGGCUUCGAGCCCAUAUUUUUUUGUUAUUAAAUCAAAGAAUGAAAA
This is a long non-coding RNA of Cynoglossus semilaevis (tongue sole), 1681 nucleotides long. RefSeq lists it as uncharacterized. NCBI's taxonomy places the organism in Eukaryota, Metazoa, Chordata, Actinopteri, Pleuronectiformes, Cynoglossidae. The record is from RefSeq and is a predicted model, not a curated record. The transcript is spliced from 2 exons.